Molecule: long non-coding RNA, 767 nt
Filed under: Phoenix dactylifera (date palm)
Lineage: Eukaryota; Viridiplantae; Streptophyta; Magnoliopsida; Arecales; Arecaceae
Description: long non-coding RNA (PDAC_LNC011223)
Source: RNAcentral
UGUACAUGGUCAUGCCAAGCUUCUCAAGCUUCUCUAAAUCCUUUAUCAUGGUCAAACCAUGAUCAUGGACAGACUGCCCAUCAUGCAUCUUGGUUUUGAAGAGCCUCUUGGACACUUCAAACCGAGCUGCGUGACUCGGAUCACCAUACAACUCUUGCAGGUGAUUUAAUAUGUCCCUGGCAGUCUUCAUGUUCUCAUGCUGGCAUUGUAAUGCAUUGGAUAUGGAUGCCAUUGUGCAGCACCUAACUUUAUUGUCAUUGUUCGUUCACUUAACAUGCGUCUUACGCUGAUCAGCGAUCGGAUAGAUUGGUAACACGGGGAUUCCAUGGUCUAGCACAUACCCUAAUUUCUCACAAUUCAAAAUUAUUUUUGAAAUUUGCUGAGCCAAUCUUUAUAAUUGGGUUUGGUCAAACGGUUGUUCUAUAGGAUAUGAGUUAAGAGUCUAGAAGCUGACUUCAUAAUCCUCAGAGAGUAAAGAUUCUAGUUAGACUUUUGUACUUGAUCCUAAUCUGUUCUAAGGUCUUUUAGAACAAAUGUAACUCCCACUAUUUUCUCGAAUUCUUCACACUCCCCUGGUAGGAAAACGGAAAUCCCACACGACUAGGAUUUCUAGUGGGUACUGCGGUCCCACCAAUUUACAUGCCACCUCACCUAACAGUUAUUGGUGACACAUAGAUUGAUGAAUGUACAACUCUUGUACAAUGCUUCUCAAGCAUGUUGCAGUGUAACUUGGUCUCUAAGCUAUGAAAACCUCACCUAACGGUUAU